GGGCUUCAUACAAAAGUGUAAUGGGUUGGAUGUUGUCCAGAGGUCAUAGUUCACUGACCUCCAUCCUAGAUGAUGUCACUGCUCUGCAGGAAUGUUUGGCUCAUGCCUUAAUCACAGGGGUAUAAGCGUCUAACCCAGAACCUAAGCCUGCAAGUUGUUGUUUUUGUUCAGUCUCUAAAUUGUUCCGACUCUUUUGUGACCCCAUGGACUGUAGCCUGCCAGGCUGCUCUGUCCAUGUGAUUUCCCAAGAAGAAGACUGGAGUGGGUUGCCAUUUCCUUCUCCAGGGCAUCUUCCUGACCCAGGGAUAGAACCCAAGUCUCCUGCCUGGCAGAUGAUUCUUUACCACUGAGUCACCAGAUGGAAACUCAGAAAGGUGAGGGACUUGUCCAAGGACACACAGCUGUAACUCAGGCAAACCUGGAGGUGGAACUCAGGGGUCCAGAGUCCCCUUCCCCAACACCACCCUGCCUUGUUCAGAAGGAAAAGACCGCACAAAGCAAAGGGAACAAAUACAUACAUUUUAAUUGGAUAAUAAAGUAAAAAGAAAGAAGAGGAAGACCCAAAGGAGAUACAUGCCUGGACAAUCAUAGACUGUGACAUUUAAGAGCUCUGGGACAAAUCUCUAUUUUAAAAUUGUAUAAUAUCUUUAAAUUAAAAUAAAAUAUAUUUAGUUAAUUAAAACAGACAUUUAAAUAUAGUUUUAAAUAUCCCCUUUCCUACUCUGACACAAAACAGCAUGUAAGCUAAUAUAUUCUUUAUGUCAAUCUGGUGGUACUAUCUAAACCCUGUUAUUCAGACUCUAAGAGCUGAAGGAUGCUCACUGAGCCCACUAUACAGAUGAGAAAAGUAAGGUACAGCGAGAGGAAAUGACCUGCCCAAGGAAACUCAAGCAGCUCCAGGCAGAGGUGACACGGGCUCUAACAUCGCCCCCUAUCCAGUCCUGUGGAACUCUGAGGGCCAAAUGCACUUCCCCAGCUUCUUACGGACACAGAUGUUCAGUUUCCUCUGGCACUCCUUAGCAUCUCACGUGAUUCUGUCCAAAGGUCUGGCGUAAUCUCGGAGGCAGGUGGCUGAUUCUCUUGAAAUGUAUUGUAGCUACCAAGAGACAGGAGUGAACAUGGUUAGUCCGUCAAUGUGUACAGGAGAAGGGACCCUCAACAGCAAUGAGCAUGAAAGCAGAUAAUGAGUGUAUUCUCUUGGUCCAAAUAAAAGGUAGUAUAUCCACACAAAUGUAAUAAAACUACAGAGCAAGUGCCAAGAAUAAGGUAGCUGACAUGGACAGCACUCCUUGAUACAUGGCUGCAUAGGAGAAAGCAAGCUGAGAAAAAAAUCUAUUUAUUAAAAACAGGACUCUGUGUGUGUGUGUGUGUGUGUGCAUGCGUGUGUAAAUGCACUGGAAAGCUCUGCAAGGAUGUGUGCCAAACUGAUAACCUAAGCAGAAAGGACGCAGAAACAAGAAUUGGGGGCUGUGAUCAAGAAAAAACAUUAGCCUUAUCUGGACAGCCUUUUUUCCCCAAGCUAAAAAACAUUCAGUUACUAUUUAUGUAAUAAGUGAUUGAUUGGGGGAAAAAAAGAGAGAGAGAGAAAAAUGGAAAUAGAUUAGUAUUCAUUCAUCUAUCAUCUGUUCGGGCUUCCCCAGUGGCUCAGCAGUAAAGAAUCUGCCUGCCAGUGUAGAAGCUGCAGGAAACCUGGGUUCCAUCCGUGGAUUAGUAAGAUCCCCUGGAGGAGGGCAUGGCAACCCACUCCAGUAUUCUUGCCUGGAGAAUGCCAUGGACAGGGGAUCCUGGCAGACUACAGUCCACAGGGUCAAAGAGUUGGACGCAACUGAAGGGAAUCAGCACAUCAUCUGUUCACUCAGUUCUCUCAACGGCAACUUUGUGCCAGGAACAGAACAAAAUGAAAAACACAGCCCCUACCCCCGAGGCGCUUCUACUGUAACGGGUAAAGGGGGAGGUUUGCCUGUGUGGCAUACAUGUUCAGGAAUGUUCUAUGUGCUCUGGUGAAAGAAGGAAAGAGAGCAGAGUGGGAAAAUAAAGUGAUUUCCAUGUUUCAAGGCAGAUCCAGCGGCUGAAGCGAAGUCCUCAAGUGAAUUUUGCCACGACCUGCCAUCUUAAAGCUAAACAAUCAGGACAACACGUUGCAAAUGGACAAAGUUUUGGUAAUUUUAAAGGAAUCUCAGCUGUCUUUUUCACUUUUUGGCCACACCCCAUGGGAUGUGGGAUCUUAGUCCCUAACCAGGGACCGAACCUUCAUCCGCUGCACUGGAAGGCAGAGUCCUAAUCACUGGAUCACUGGGGAAGUCCCUCAACUGAAUUCACAAAGGAAUAUGACAGCACCAAGGAGAGUUUGCAGUUACCCCCUAAUUUAACCUUCAUGGAGGAAGAUGGCUUGGAAGCCUUUUACAGGCACUGAGUCUUUGGCUGUCUUUAUCAGUACAUAUGGUUUACUCUGCUCGGGUAGAGCAUUGCUUCGGUCUCCCAUUCGCCAGAAUUGCUGUUUUGAUUUGAAACUCCAAAAAUAACUCAUGAGAAGCCUGCUGUGUGAGAGAAAGAUGGUGGCACAUAGCUCCAGGGAGGAAAAGAGAAAGCGUUUGAUCUGAAUCACCUAAGAGCUGAAAUUGAGUGCAAAUAUCUCCCGUAGCAACUGCUGUAUAAUUAGUCACCCUUAUCCUUUCAAAACCAAGGUGGUUGAACAAGGAAGUUUAAUUGGAAAGAAAAUUUCUGGACCAACUAUUCUCUCCAAACUGCAUUAAAUGAGGAUAGUUCAGCAGUGACCAUGGGCUUCCCAAGUGGUUCAGAUGAUAAAGAAUCCAUCUGCCAAUGCAGGAGACAGGGGUUCAAUUGCUGGGUCGGGAAGAUCCCCUGGAGAAGGAAAUGGCAAUUCACUCCAGUAUUCUUGCCUGGAGAAUCCCAUGGACUGAGCUUUGUGGGCUAUACUCCAUGGGGUCACAAAGAGUCAGACACAACUGAGUGACUAAGCAGGCAUGCACAGCAAGGACCACAUGACCAGUAAAAGCUAUUGGGUGUUUUGGAAGAGAGGAUGAGAGGGAAGGUGUCCUCUCCAAUGUGAGUUAAAUGUGGUAAUAUUCUAGGUUCCUUUUCCAGUUUCAUGUGUCUUCUAGCCACCAGGCAAAAGGACUCACUUCUCUCUGGGUCAGUGUUACUGUGGGGACCACCCACCACAUGAAAUGUCUGCUAGUCUCCUGGAAAGAAGCAGCCAGAAUCAAAAUCUCGGAGAUAAAGAAGGGGAGAGAAAAGAAACUGACACUCACCAUCCGAACCUGUUCAUUAAGUGCAGAGUGUCCCAUUCUAGGAGGACCACAUUCAUCUAUGGGCUCAUGGGGGGCUGCAAUGACUGGGAACGACCUUCACCCUUGAACUUUUGUCUUUGUCACUUACUAGCUGUGUGACCUCUGCCAAGUUGUUUAACAUCUCUGAGGAGCAGUUUUCUCAUCUAAAAAGUUAAAAAAAGAAAAAGAAAGCAAAAAAGGAUUAUGCUGGUGCACCUCACUGGAUGGUGAGGAAGACAGACUGUUGUCAAUGUACAUUAAACUGCUGACGGGUGAUGGAGCUGGAAUCCGUGUGUAAGUGACCUAGCGCUCCAUAGAUGGGGAGUGUGUGUCGAGGAGAAAGGCGAGAAGGAGCAUCGGGUGUUUCCUUGCUACUCAGAAUGGGUCAGCCGUGGUCCAGGAACAUCACCAUCACUUGGGAGUUCAUCAUUGGUGCAGAAUAUCAGCUCCACUUGGCUUAAGUGACACAGCAUCUGCAUUUAACAAGGGCUCCUAGAAGUUUAUGCAUGGCUCACAUUCGAGAAACAAUAGCCCCAGCCAUCUCUCAGGUGUGUGAUUCUGCACUCGGUGCCCUGAGUCAAGACAAAGUGUUCUUUAAGGGGGAGAAGUGGGCUCCCCAGAGGACCACCUGUGGUGGGAACCACUUCUGGAUCCUGUCCUGGAUUGCCGUCCAGUCUUCCUGCUUCCUGUCAGCAGGGGGGAAAUCGGGGCAGAUCCCAGGCCCUCCUGAAACCAGGGCAUUCUCCAUCAGCCUGGCUGGGCCACUCCGGGGUCCAGAGCCAUGUCAUCACAAAUGUCCCUGAGUCAUCACACAUGCCUGGAAAUAGACCUUGAGCAUGGAAAAGAAGAUGAAAACAGCUGGUAACAAGCAAAUGGGAGUGGAGGCCUUGGGAGGGUGGAAUGAACCACAGAUCACAGGGCCUCUGCUAUAAGACACGGCCACAUCCAGUCAAGAAAGAAACACUAUACAUACUCGGAUCGUGCUUGUAUGUGCACAAACCAUCUCCAGAAUGACAAACGGGAAUCUUCUGAGAGUGACUGCCUUCCGGGAGGAAGAUUUGUUACCUGGAGAAGUGGACCCUGCGGUGGACACUUUACUUUUACUGCAUGUCUUUCUGGACCAUCUGAAUUUUCAUUGGUGUGAAUGUAUUCCAAGGAGGGGAGGGAAGGGAAGAGAGAAGGGAAAAAAAGGAAAGGAAAGGGAGGAAGGGACAUUCAAUUUAAAAGAAAAUAACUGAAAAUAAUAGAUAACUGAGUCACUUGUUGUGUAGGGUUAAGUUUAAAAGUCCUCUCAGGUUGGUUUUUUUUUGCUUAAAGUCACAUCACUUAGCCUGUAAUUCUUCGUUGGUCCCAGCAUACCUGUGUCUGAAAAUGCUCAGAAAUCUGGAGAAAUUCAAGCAGGGAAUGUCCCAUGUGGCAGAGCACUACCUUGUUUAUUUGUCCCCAAGCUCACAGAUACACCCUCCUCUCUAGAGACACCCUCUUCUCUAAAAAUGCCAGAGGGUCCUGACUCCAGCCCACUUGGCUCAGUGAGGCAAGGUAAGAUCUCUCCCAGAAGAUGUGUAAGUCCUGGUUUCCAGAGAUCUCCAGGGACUCAAGUGGAGUCCGGGGAUACAGCGCUUAUACUUUGUGUGAAUGUGUGAGUGUGAACUGAGCUAAGAAACAAAAUGUAAGGUAACGUGGAACAUCCUAAUUGCAGAAUAAGCAGUACUGGCCGUGCUCAGCUUAAAAGGUGCUUCGUAAAUCCUUACUGGGAGGAACAAUAGAAACCUGAAGCUAAAGAUGAGGACUGAGGCCCAGCGAGGUCAGUGGCGAGAUCGGGAAUUAAAUGCUGUACUUUUGCUGUCCCCGGGCACACCCUUUCUUCCAUGUUCCAGUGUCCCAGCCACCUUCACAAAAGACCCACACAUCGCCUGGUGCUGGACACAUGACACUCUGUCUUUAUGGUUGGUGGCUGGAAGUAAUUUCUUCAUAAAAAGUAUCACUGAGUCUUCAGCUGAGCACUUAUUCUGUUGAUAAGAACAGCAAGGAUGGCGUUGCUCCUUGAGGCACGUGGCUACUACUGAUGAUGUCUAGCUGAUUGGAUGAGAGGCCAGCUCUCACAUCACGAACUCUUGGGUUGCGUCCCUGGUACUUGCAGCUGUCAACGUUUGGUAAGUGGAUCUCUUGAGCCUCUGGUUUCUUCAUUUUUUAAAAACGGCAACAACAACAACUAUUUAUCAAGUGUGAACGAUGUACGUACUCUGAGCCAGCGUUAUUCUAAGCACUUUACCAGCUCACUGAGUGCUCGUAACCGUCCAUUAUUGUUCUUGGCGUACACAGGAGAAAGCUGAGGCCCAGAAAGGUUAAGUCAUCUGCCCAAGCUCACACAGCUAUUAAGCGUCAGUCCUGGAGUUCCAUGGGCGGUCUGAUGGGAGCCUGUGCUUCAACCGUCACACGCAAAUGCUCUCACGAGGUUGUCAGAGGUUGUGUUAUGAGAUCAUAAAAAAUAACAUGCUUACUGGGCUGCCUGGCCCAGAGUAAGGGCUCAGUAGGUUACAGAAGUUAAUGAUUAGAAGUUAAUGUCUUUGGUUAGGCAAAAACACAGGAUUACUACAGCAGGCACAUGGUUGAUGGCGGCGGGGGUGGGAAGGGGAAGCUGCUGCCUGCUGUGGUACUAUUCCUGGACAGGUGUCCUCCCCACCUGUCCCCAGCUGGCAUUCUGCCUUGGAGUCUAGGCACAGGCAGGAACAGGGGCGCCGUGCCCGUGAAUCUCUGUGCUGAACUCUCUCGUGGGGAGCUCACAUGGAGAUCUACGUAGGGGCAGCCUCAGGACGGUGGGGAGGGGACCGGGUCUGCGAUUCACCUGGUGGGAAGAACCAUCAGAUUCCAGAACCAACAGUUCUAACCCCAAGGCAACAGACAUGUGCUUCUGAGAUUCUCCACAAACGGUUCAUCACACAGAUUUGGGGGGGGCGGGGAAGAUCCCUCAAACGGAAGAGGCAAAGUGAUCUCAAAAAACUGGUGCAAUUAGAGCCCUGGCGUGGCAACCUCUAUGGACAGCGGGGUGAUUGUCCGCUGCUCUCUCCAUCCUCGGGCAGACACGCUCCGUUCUGUUCGGGUCCUGGGCAGGCAGCAACACCCACGGAAAGGGCCAUCCUCUAAUCUCUGUCAGAGGCUGGCUUAGGAGGACAAACUGGCCCCAGCUGGCCAAUAAGACACAAGGGGAAGUAGACUAGGGAUUUCUGGGGAAUUCUUCUUCCUAACAGAAAACAGAUAGUUUGCCCUAAGAAGACCCCCCUCAUCCUGCCUGCCAUGCUUCCUGCUCUGGAUGCUGUCAUGACCAGGUGCCGACUGCAGCAGAAAAGGGCGGCUCAGAGAAGCGAACCCAGUACCCUGAUGAGCUGAGCUAUCAAAUGCCUCUUUUUGACACACCUGACCACACACCAGGUGCUGGGGCAGGCGGGAGCGGGAGUCAGGGGGAUGAGGGAAACAUGGGGAAACAGAAACCCCUGAGCACCAGCAGUGGAAGCACAAACAGGUAGUCAUUCUGGAAAACAAUCUGGCGGUGCUUGUGAAAUGAAAUGAGCAGCACAGUGACUCACCCCCACCCCACCCGCCCCCAGCCCUGGGUCCGUAUCAGAGAGAUUCUCCCACAGGCCAUGCGGGCACAGAACUUGGCUGGGCUUCUCCCUGAAGUGUGUCAGCAGGGAUGAAGGAAGUAAAUAAGGCAGGGCCUGCAGUCAGGGGAGGGUGGACACUGCCCCUCACAUGAGCUCAGCACGCACAGGCCAGCAGGAGUGGAGCUAAAAAAAGAAGACGGCUCUGAGUAAAAAGGAAAACAGAGGGAGACCUAUAACAGAAUCCUGUUUGUCAAAAUGAGAAACAGAUACCUGAUCAGAACAGAACACGGCAAACACACUGGCAGGAGUGGGAGUCUGAGAAUCUCCUAGAGAAGAGCUGCUCUAUCUAUAUAACUUCCCCAAUCACAGGAAAGACACGAUGCUGUAUGUGACUGCCACAUCUCAGACUGCCGUUGCUGCCCUUAAGGUGGUCCCCUCUUCUCCACCGUGAUCCCUCAGACUUCUGGGAAAGAUCUGGUGGCCCAGAAAUACCAUGUAUACCCCCCACCAGCACCAUUUUGUUUCCAGUUUUGCCCCUAAGUGUGUCUGGCUGUACAAAAUCCCUUCCUGCACACCACCGCCUUCUCUCCUCCUGGAACAUGUCUUUGAAAUACAUUCCCCAAAUUGGGACACAAGGUCGAAGUGAUGCUUUGAUAACUCCUGGCAACUGGUUUUCCCCAAAGAACAAUAUAAGCUGCCACAAACCACAGAAACGCAUGCAAGUUUCCCCCAAAAUUCUUAGAAUAAAUUUCAAAUCCUGUUAGUCUAACUCUUGGUGACUUACUUUUGAACUGUGGUGUUGGAGAAGACUCUUGAGAGUCCCUUGGACUGCAAGGAGAUCCAACCAGCCAAUCCUAAAGGAAAUCAGUCCUGAAUAUUCAUUAGAAGGACUGAUGCUGAAGCUGAAACUCCAAUACUUUGGCCACUUGGUGCGAAGAACUAACUCAUUUGAAAAGACCCUGAUGCUGGGCAAGAUUGAAGGCGGGAGGAGAAGGGGAUGACAGAGGAUGAGAUGGCUGGAUGGCAUCACCGACUCAAUGGACAUGAGUUUGAGUAAGCUCCAGGAGUUGGUGAUGGACAGGGAAGCCUGGCAUG
Bos taurus (domestic cattle) is the source of this 7987-nucleotide long non-coding RNA. The record is from Ensembl. NCBI's taxonomy places the organism in Eukaryota, Metazoa, Chordata, Mammalia, Artiodactyla, Bovidae.